Molecule: ribosomal RNA, 386 nt
Filed under: uncultured bacterium
Lineage: Bacteria
Description: bacterial SSU rRNA
Rfam family: Bacterial small subunit ribosomal RNA
Source: RNAcentral
AACGAACGCUGGCGGCGUGCUUAACACAUGCAAGUCGAGCGGUAAGGCCCUUCGGGGUACACGAGCGGCGAACGGGUGAGUAACACGUGGGUGACCUGCCUCUAGCUCUGGGAUAAGCCUGGGAAACUGGGUCUAAUACCGGAUAUGACUCCACGGCGCAUGUUGUGGGGUGGAAAGCCUUGUGUGGCUAGAGAUGGGCCCGCGGCCUAUCAGCUUGUUGGUGGGGUGAUGGCCUACCAAGGCGACGACGGGUAGCCGGCCUGAGAGGGCGACCGGCCACACUGGGACUGAGACACGGCCCAGACUCCUACGGGAGGCAGCAGUGGGGAAUCUUGCGCAAUGGGCGAAAGCCUGACGCAGCGACGCCGCGUGAGGGAUGACGGCCU